Molecule: long non-coding RNA, 190 nt
Organism: Hibiscus syriacus
Lineage: Eukaryota; Viridiplantae; Streptophyta; Magnoliopsida; Malvales; Malvaceae
Exons: 3
Source: RefSeq, a predicted model, not a curated record
AGAGAUAUGAACAAAUAUAUGUUAUAUUAUAUUAUAUUUGAUGAUAUUUACCGAGUUUUGAGAGCGAUAAGAAAUUUAUGGGUUAUGUAUUGUAUUAGUCCUCCGAGUUAGCAUAGUAUUUGAUUGAGAUCAUUGCAUUUCGAUUUUGUUUUAGUUGUGGUUUGGUUUAAUUUAAAUGUUGCUUUAUUUC